GUCUCAGUAGUGUAGUGGUUAGCACACGAGCCCGGAUAGGUUCGGGUUCGAAUCCCGCCUGAGCCG
This 66-nucleotide transfer RNA is filed under the name Nippostrongylus brasiliensis. It matches the Rfam family "tRNA". Rfam says of the family: Transfer RNA (tRNA) molecules are approximately 80 nucleotides in length. Their secondary structure includes four short double-helical elements and three loops (D, anti-codon, and T loops). Further hydrogen bonds mediate the characteristic L-shaped molecular structure. tRNAs have two regions of fundamental functional importance: the anti-codon, which is responsible for specific mRNA codon recognition, and the 3' end, to which the tRNAs corresponding amino acid is attached (by aminoacyl-tRNA synthetases). tRNAs cope with the degeneracy of the genetic code in two manners: having more than one tRNA (with a specific anti-codon) for a particular amino acid; and 'wobble' base-pairing, i.e. permitting non-standard base-pairing at the 3rd anti-codon position. Lineage: Eukaryota; Metazoa; Nematoda; Chromadorea; Rhabditida; Heligmosomidae. The record is from Rfam by way of RNAcentral.